Papaver somniferum (opium poppy) is the source of this 2537-nucleotide long non-coding RNA. RefSeq lists it as uncharacterized. NCBI's taxonomy places the organism in Eukaryota, Viridiplantae, Streptophyta, Magnoliopsida, Ranunculales, Papaveraceae. The transcript has 18 exons. The record is from RefSeq and is a predicted model, not a curated record.
CAAAACCUUACUACCCAAAUGAAAAAACCCCUUUCUGAACCUAAAUCUCAGUCUUCAAUCUCCGCAACUCCAUCUCCACCGUCUUCCGCUAAUCAGCACCACCACCUAUCUCUGCAAAUCCAUCUUCACUGUCUAACUCUGAACUCAAAAGUCAAAAUUCUUCUGAUGAAAUUGUGCCCUAAAUUGAAGAAAUCGUCGCCACCGAUUGAAGAAACGAUCUGAUUUCUGAAGCAAAGAAAAUCCAAGGAUAAAUGGAGGAGUAUGAUGUAGCUGCAACUGGUGAGGGUUUUAGGCCGGAAAUUAAGGCACCAGCAGCAACCAUAGAAUCCAUCUUUCAAUCUCCUUCAUCCCCUAAAACUGCUGAGGAGGCAAAAAAUACAGUAAAGCUUAGGAUCUUACAGUAAACACGCCAGAUGGGAAGCCUCCACUUAGUAGGUGUUAACUAUUUCACAGAGAAAUCCAUGGGAGCAUGUACUGGGAGUGGGACUUGGAGCUGUAUUCGUAAAUCAGUUGGUCAAAUGGGAUGCUCAGCUUCAAGUUGAUCUUCACAAGAUGCUCGACGAAGCUAAGUUUGCAAAUGAACGUCGCUACUUUGAGAUGCUGAUAUUACAGUGGGAGAAGUUAUCAGUGGGAGAAGAUAAAGAGUUGAUGAAUAUCAUUCUUGCCUGUCAUGGAGAAAAUACAGGAGAUGAAAGGGAACCUGGUACAAAAUGUUGCUGUGUGGAAGACGUUGGAUUUGUUAAAUGACAAUGCUUUUAGCCAUUUAAUGGAGACAAGGAGGCGAGUCUUGAUUAAGCUUUUAAUUGAAUCUCCUGGUCCAAGGUCUCCCGGCACAAAAGUUUCCAGGUACAAAGGUCUCCAGAACAGAGGUCUCCAGGACAGAGGCUUCGGUCUCUGUGCCUGGUUGGCCGCUGCGCCCUGUCAGGCCGAUUUGCCUGGUUGGCCGCUGCGUCCUGGCGGGCCGAUGUGCCUGGUGUGCCGUUGGCCGGGUUGGCCAAUGCGUCAGGUGGUUAGCUGGGAAAUAGAGCUGCAAUAUGUGAGCAGUUUUGUCCAGGACAGUGGACCUACUCGUGUGAGUUAAACAAGCAUCAGAGUGCAAUUUUGUACUUGGCUUCAUGGUUGUCUCCUGAAGAUUUCACUGCGAAGAUAUUGCCAACUUUAGUGAAACUAUCUGCCUCGAAUGACCGACUAUUAGAGUUGGCCUUCUGCAACAUAUCGAUCAGUAUGGAGAGUCAUUAUCUUCUCAAGUUGUAGAUGAACAAGUUUAUUCUCACGUUGCCACUGGGUUUUCUGAUACACCUGUUAUUCUUCGGGAACUGGCACUAAAGUCAAUUCUCAGCUUGGCACCCUAGCUGUCUCUGCGAACUAUUGCGGGAUCUUUGCUGAAGUAUCUUUUGAAGUUUCAAGUGGAUGAAGAAGCGGCUGUUAGGACAAACACAAUUCUGUUUGGGAACAUUGCCAGCUAUCUUAAUGAUGGGAUAAGGAGGUGGGUCUUGAUUAAGCUUUGAUUGAAUCUCCUGGUCGAAGGUCUCUCGGCACAAAGGCCUCCAGGUACAUAGGUCUCCAGAACAGAGGUCUCCAGGUACAAAGUUCUCCAGAACAGUGGUCUCCAGGACAGAGGCUUCAGUCUCUGUGCCCUGGCGGGCCGCUGCUCCCUGGCGGGCCGACGUGCCUGUUGGGCCGGGUUGGCCGAUGCAUCAGGUGGUUAGCUGCGAAAUAGAGCUGCAAUAUGUGAGCAAUUUUGUCCAGGACAGUGGACCUACUCGUGCGAGUUAAACAAGCACCAGAGUUCAAGGAUAAUGAAGGGCAAGUGCUAGUAGCCAGCCGGGGUAUUUCAUCCCCUGCAACAAUGAUCAAUUUCAAUUAAGGGCAAUCAAAACAAAUCAAGUAUAGAACCGCCAGUGAUGGAAGAAAUUCCUCAAAUGCGGAGAUAGACAUGACAAACAAGGGGAAUUAUAAGAGAAACAAGAAGAAGAGGGCAAAAUUAAUGAAAGAUAAGGCAAGGGGUUACUUGUUGUUGCAGACAUACAUGACCAGCAGCCUAAGUUCUGUAUUGUAUGAUUGUAUCGUUUGAUUGUAUUACACGAGGUGUCUGUGCUUUUCAAUGUGGUGAGCCAACAAUUCGAAGCCAAAUGUUUGAUUGGUUGUUGGUCACAUCUCUAGUCUCAUAUUUAGUAGUUGUGUCUGUUAGCAAAACUUUUCUUCGGUUUUGCUUUUCGAGAUUAAAGUUUGCAUACACUUAGGAGGUGUGAAAGUUCUCAUUCUUCUGCACAUGAUAACCGUCGCCAGAGAUCAAGGUCUCCUCGAGCUUGCAGUGGUCUUGUGACUCCAACUUCUACCAUUGUGGUGAAGGGCUUGCCAAAAGAGGCAACAGAGGAAAUGAUUCAUCGGAUCCUAAGUGGAGGCCCCUUCCCAAUAUCCGAGUGAUGCCGAAAAAGAAUACUACUUUCUGCCGUGGAAUCGCAUUCGUUGAUUUUCCGUCUGUGGUAGCGGCUCGGAAAUUGAUGGAUGAAAUUGGAGACCGCGGCCUCGAUGUC